UAAUAGAUUGGUGUAAAAUUGGGACUUUAGCAUUUUCAUGCAAUUUAUAUCAUCAUGAUGUGCUAAUGUGUCGGUUUUACAACAAUCACAAA
This 92-nucleotide microRNA precursor is filed under the name Tribolium castaneum (red flour beetle). RNAcentral describes it as "microRNA tca-mir-11624d precursor". Lineage: Eukaryota; Metazoa; Arthropoda; Insecta; Coleoptera; Tenebrionidae. The record is from miRBase by way of RNAcentral.